Molecule: long non-coding RNA, 468 nt
Filed under: Cricetulus griseus (Chinese hamster)
Lineage: Eukaryota; Metazoa; Chordata; Mammalia; Rodentia; Cricetidae
Description: lncRNA (ENSCGRG00015039995.1)
Source: RNAcentral
AGGAGAAGGGGCAUCUGGGAGGGAGGUACCAGGACACUAUGGAUGUCCUCUGCCUGGAAAUGGAGACCUGACAACAUUCCUUUAGCUUUCAGUCCAUCCCAUGCUGUCCCAUCUCCCUUCCUGUCCUGGCUGACAGCUGAUACCUUGAGCUGAAAAACAGACAGUGACACUGGCUGGCCAUGCAGAAAGCAGCAUGAGAGUGUCCCUUCUGUUCCAGGCAGGAAAUGGCUGAGGACCUGCUGUGCCCAAGACUCAGCCUCCAUUCAGAGGUGCUGAGGGAAUGCUGAAGUUCCGUGUUCCACACAACUUGCAUUCUGGAAGCUUGGCUUCGGGAAUGAGGGAAUGAAGGAAAGACAGACAAAUGCAUGGACACACAUAUGGUGAAACUGGGAUCAGGUGGUGUGGUGGUUUGAAUGUAAUUGUAUCCCAUAAGAAAUAGUACUAUUGGGAGGUGUGGCUUUGUUGGAG